UAAAAUAGUCCCCUGGUGUGUUAAAAGCAUGUCUGUGACGUCCUUCGGUCAAAAUUCGAUUUGGAUCAAUUAUUUUAGUGCACUUUUUAUCAGCUAAAAACAGCUCCGCUCAAAAUCCUCCGUUUUGGGCCAUGUCUCUUUAAUGAAAUGAGCUGCACCUAAGCCACGUCCACUUUACACCCAUCUCUCUGGAAGGGGCUGUGGCUGUGCUCCGAUAGCCAUGUGCUAAUGUUUACACUGGCUCGGUCAUGGCUGCAAGAAGAUCGUUCGUACAACCCUACCAGUUUGAGCCAGAGUCUGACCCAGAGGGAGAGGCUCCGGAAGAAAC
RNAcentral lists this long non-coding RNA (328 nucleotides) under Xyrichtys novacula (pearly razorfish). Lineage: Eukaryota; Metazoa; Chordata; Actinopteri; Labriformes; Labridae. The record is from RNAcentral.